GAACUUGUCCAAGGUUAAAAUAAAUCAUCACUGAUUAUCGUGUGGAAGUUUUAACAAACAAUUUUUCCAAUCCUACUAGAUGAAUUUUCAAAACGAAGCAACUUCAAGAAAUAACCAGAUAUCGAUAAAUAUCGAUAAAUAGCUGUUGACAAAUAAUAUUCAUGAUGAAUUUAAAUUACUGUAUAAUCAAAUAUAUCGUUAUGAUAAUAGUGAUUAAAAUUUUUGUUUGAUAUUAACUUAUUCUAUUUUUACUAUUCUCUAUAGAUAUGAGAUUAUUUAUUUUAUGUAACUAGAACAAUUUAUUCCAUAUUUUUUUUGCUAUUAUUACUACGUUUGUGUAAGUUAUCUGAUCAAUUUUCAUACGAUUACAUAAAAUUAAAUAUAUAUUUUCCAA
Molecule: long non-coding RNA, 394 nt
Organism: Apis florea (little honeybee)
Lineage: Eukaryota; Metazoa; Arthropoda; Insecta; Hymenoptera; Apidae
Source: RefSeq, a predicted model, not a curated record